CGCAAUGGGCGAAAGCCUGACGGAGCAAUACCGCGUGAGGGACGAAGGCCUGUGGGUUGUAAACCUCUUUUCUCAGGGAAGAAGAUUUGACGGUACCUGAGGAAUCAGCAUCGGCUAACUCCGUGCCAGCAGCCGCGGUAAGACGGAGGAUGCAAGCGUUAUCCGGAAUUAUUGGGCGUAAAGCGUCCGCAGGCGGUCUCGUAAGUCUGUCUUUAAAGCGUGGAGCUUAACUCCAUAAAGGGGAUGGAAACUGCGAGACUAGAGGUAGGUAGGGGUAGAAGGAAUUCCCAGUGUAGCGGUGAAAUGCGUAGAUAUUGGGAAGAACACCAGCAGCGAAGGCGUUUUACUGGACCCAACCUGACGGUCAUGGACGAAAGUUA
RNAcentral lists this ribosomal RNA (380 nucleotides) under uncultured Limnothrix sp. Its description in RNAcentral is "bacterial SSU rRNA". It matches the Rfam family "Bacterial small subunit ribosomal RNA", at positions 367 to 762 of the family's 1533-position model. The record is from RNAcentral. Lineage: Bacteria; Bacillati; Cyanobacteriota; Cyanophyceae; Pseudanabaenales; Pseudanabaenaceae.